This 782-nucleotide ribosomal RNA is filed under the name Thalassobacillus sp. CUA-792. RNAcentral's name for it is "bacterial SSU rRNA". It matches the Rfam family "Bacterial small subunit ribosomal RNA", at positions 74 to 832 of the family's 1533-position model. The record is from RNAcentral. Lineage: Bacteria; Bacillati; Bacillota; Bacilli; Caryophanales; Bacillaceae.
CCCCUUCGGGGGUGAUGCUUGUGGAAUGAGCGGCGGACGGGUGAGUAACACGUGGGCAACCUGCCUGUAAGACUGGGAUAACCCCGGGAAACCGGGGCUAAUACCGGGUAAUACCUGACUCCGCAUGGAGUCGGGUUGAAAGAUGGCUUCUCGCUAUCACUUACAGAUGGGCCCGCGGCGCAUUAGCUAGUUGGUGAGGUAACGGCUCACCAAGGCGACGAUGCGUAGCCGACCUGAGAGGGUGAUCGGCCACACUGGGACUGAGACACGGCCCAGACUCCUACGGGAGGCAGCAGUAGGGAAUCUUCCGCAAUGGACGAAAGUCUGACGGAGCAACGCCGCGUGAACGAUGAAGGUCUUCGGAUCGUAAAGUUCUGUUGUCAGGGAAGAACAAGUACCGUGCGAAUAGAGCGGUACCUUGACGGUACCUGACCAGAAAGCCACGGCUAACUACGUGCCAGCAGCCGCGGUAAUACGUAGGUGGCAAGCGUUGUCCGGAAUUAUUGGGCGUAAAGCGCGCGCAGGCGGUUUCUUAAGUCUGAUGUGAAAGCCCCCGGCUCAACCGGGGAGGGUCAUUGGAAACUGGGGAACUUGAGUACAGAAGAGGAGAGUGGAAUUCCACGUGUAGCGGUGAAAUGCGUAGAUAUGUGGAGGAACACCAGUGGCGAAGGCGACUCUCUGGUCUGUAACUGACGCUGAGGCGCGAAAGCGUGGGGAGCGAACAGGAUUAGAUACCCUGGUAGUCCACGCCGUAAACGAUGAGUGCUAGGUGUUAGGGGGCU